UCAAACUUGGUCAUUUAGAGGAAGUAAAAGUCGUAACAAGGUCUCCGUUGGUGAACCAGCGGAGGGAUCAUUACCGAGUUUACAACUCCCAAACCCCUGUGAACAUACCUAUCGUUGCUUCGGCGGGAUGCCCCAGGGCGCCCGCCGGGGACCCCAAACUCUUGUUUCGUAACAGUAUCUUCUGAGUGGCGUAAAGCAAAAAUAAAUCAAAACUUUCAACAACGGAUCUCUUGGCUCUGGCAUCGAUGAAGAACGCAGC
This 259-nucleotide unclassified non-coding RNA is filed under the name uncultured fungus. RNAcentral describes it as "partial contains small subunit ribosomal RNA, internal transcribed spacer 1, and 5.8S ribosomal RNA". The stretch from base 1 to 73 matches the Rfam family "Eukaryotic small subunit ribosomal RNA", at positions 1759 to 1831 of the family's 1831-position model. The record is from RNAcentral. Lineage: Eukaryota; Fungi.